CCUACGGGAGGCAGCAGUGAGGAAUAUUGGUCAAUGGGCGCGAGCCUGAACCAGCCAAGUCGCGUGAGGGAAGACGGCCCUACGGGUUGUAAACCUCUUUUGCCGGGGAGCAACGGGCGCCACGUGUGGCGCCACUGAGAGUACCCGGAGAAAAAGCAUCGGCUAACUCCGUGCCAGCAGCCGCGGUAAUACGUAUGGAGCAAGCGUUAUCCGGAAUUACUGGGUGUAAAGGGAGCGUAGACGGAUGUGCAAGUCUGAUGUGAAAGGCGGGGGCUCAACCCCUGGACUGCAUUGGAAACUGUAAAUCUUGAGUGCCGGAGAGGUAAGCGGAAUGCCUAGUGUAGCGGUGAAAUGCGUAGAUAUUAGGAGGAACACCAGUGGCGAAGGCGGCUUACUGGACGGUAACUGACGUUGAGGCUCGAAAGCGUGGGGAGCAAACAGGAUUAGAUACCCCUGUAGUC
RNAcentral lists this ribosomal RNA (461 nucleotides) under uncultured bacterium. RNAcentral describes it as "partial 16S ribosomal RNA". It matches the Rfam family "Bacterial small subunit ribosomal RNA", at positions 338 to 795 of the family's 1533-position model. The record is from RNAcentral.